This 1995-nucleotide ribosomal RNA is filed under the name human gut metagenome. RNAcentral describes it as "bacterial LSU rRNA". It matches the Rfam family "Bacterial large subunit ribosomal RNA", at positions 403 to 2488 of the family's 2925-position model. The record is from RNAcentral.
GUAUCCAGAGUACCGCCGGACACGUGAAACCCGGUGGGAAUACGGGGGGACCAUCCUCCAAGCCUAAAUACUACUCGGUGACCGAUAGAGAAGAAGUACUGUGAAGGAAAGGUGAAAAGCACCCCGGAAGGGGAGUGAAAGAGAACCUGAAACCUUGUGUUUACAAGCACCGAAAGUUCAUCAACGAACGAUCGGGUACCUUUUGUAGAAUGGUCCGGCGAGUGAAUGUAACUGGCGAGGUUAAGCACUUAAGGUGUGAAGCCGUAGCGAGAGCGAGUCUGAAAAGGGCGCAUGAAGUCAGUUGUAUUCGACCCGAAACCGGGUGACCUACCCAUGUCCAGGCUGAAGUGCAGGUAAAACUUCAUGGAGGGCCGAACCGACUCCCGUUGAAAUGGUAGCGGAUGAGGUGUGGGUAGCGGAGAAAUUCCAAUCGAACCCGGAGAUAGCUGGUUCUCUCCGAAAUAGCUUUAGGGCUAGCCUUGGAAUAGAUUACUGGAGGUAAAGCACUGAAUUGGCUAGGGGCCGAGAGGUUACUGAACCUUAUCAAACUAAGAAUGCCAGAUAAUCGUUUUCCAGGAGUCAGACAGUGGGAGAUAAGUUUCAUUGUCAAAAGGGAAACAGCCCAGACCUACAGCUAAGGUCCCAAAGUAUAGUUAAGUGGAAAAGGAUGUGGAAUUGCAUAGACAACCAGGAUGUUGGCUUAGAAGCAGCCACUCAUUAAAAGAGUGCGUAAUAGCUCACUGGUCGAGUGAUUCUGCGCCGAAAAUUUAACGGGGCUAAACUAUACACCGAAGCUUAGGAUACCGCAAGGUAUGGUAGGAGAGCGUUCUGUACGGAGUGAAGUCGUAGCGAAAGCGGCGGUGGACUGUACAGAAGUGAGAAUGCCGGAAUAAGUAGCGAGAAUUAAGUGAGAAUCUUAAUGGCCGAAAGUCUAAGGUUUUUGGAGGAAGGUUCGUCCGCUCCAAGUAAGUCGGGAGCUAAGGUCAGGCCGAAAGGCGUAGCCGAUGCACAAACGGUUGAUAUUCCGUUACCGUCUACAAUUUAAACAAGGGGACACAUACAAAGCGUUUAACCCGGGCGAUGGUUGACCCGGGCGCAAGGGACUGAAAUAAGAGUAGGGAAGUAAAUGUGGCGUAUGGCGAGAAAAGCUUUGUGAAUAGAAGUAGACGCCCGUACCGCAAACCGACACAGGUGGACAGGAAGAGAAUUCUAAGGCCAGCGGGAGAAGGGUAGUUAAGGAACUCGGCAAAUUGACUCCGUAACUUCGGAAUAAGGAGUGCUCGAAAGAGCCGCAGAGAAUAGGCCCAGGCGACUGUUUAGCAAAAACACAGGUCUCUGCCAAAUCGAAAGAUGAAGUAUAGGGGCUGACACCUGCCCGGUGCCGGAAGGUUAAGAGGAGGAGUGCAAGCUCCGAAUUGAAGCCCCGGUAAACGGCGGCCGUAACUAUAACGGUCCUAAGGUAGCGAAAUUCCUUGUCGGGUAAGUUCCGACCCGCACGAAUGGUGUAACGAUCUGGGCACUGUCUCAACUACCCACCCGGCGAAAUUGUAGUACCGGUGAAGAUGCCGGUUACCUGCGGCAAGACGGAAAGACCCCAUGGAGCUUUACUGUAGCCUGAUAUUGGGUUUCGGAAAUCUAUGUACAGGAUAGGCGGGAGACUGGGAAGUAUGAGCGUCAGCUUAUACGGAGUCAUUGUUGGGAUACCGCCCUUAGGUUUCUGGAAUUCUAACCUGCGACCGUGAAUCCGGUCGGGGGACAUUGUCAGGUGGGCAGUUUGACUGGGGCGGUCGCCUCCGAAAAGGUAACGGAGGCGCUCAAAGGUUGGCUCAGCACGGACGGAAACCGUGCCUCAGAGUGUAAACGCAAAAGCCAGCCUAACUGCGAGGAUGACGGUCCGAGCAGUAACGAAAGUUGGAGUUAGUGAUCCGGCGGUAUGUGAAUGGAAAUGCCGUCGCUCAACGGAUAAAAGCUACCCUGGGGAUAACAGGCUGAUCU